This 253-nucleotide ribosomal RNA is filed under the name uncultured bacterium. RNAcentral describes it as "partial 16S ribosomal RNA". It matches the Rfam family "Bacterial small subunit ribosomal RNA", at positions 524 to 776 of the family's 1533-position model. The record is from RNAcentral.
GACGAACCGAGCGAGCGUUGUUCGGAAUCACUGGGCUUAAAGGGCGCGUAGGCGGGUGCUCAAGUCCGGGGUGAAAUCCCACAGCUCAACUGUGGAACUGCCUCGGAUACUGGGUGUCUCGAGGGUGGCAGGGGUAUGCGGAACUAUCGGUGGAGCGGUGAAAUGCGUUGAUAUCGAUAGGAACUCCGGUGGCGAAGGCGGCAUACUGGUCCACUUCUGACGCUGAGGCGCGAAAGCCAGGGGAGCAAACGGG